UUGAGAUUCUAGGUCCAAGCAUACCAAAGUUAUAACAAUUUUAACAUUUUAACAUUGAAGGUCACAGUGACCUUGACCUUCAAAUGAAUGACAUUGAAAUGAGCAGUGGUGAUCUUCUAGUACUGGCCAACCUUUAUGUCAAGUUUGAAGACUCUAGGUACAAGCAUACCAAAGUUAUAACAUGGAAUAAGAACUUUAACAUUUUUACCUACCAAAGUUAUAAGAACUUUAACAUUUUUACAUUCAAGGUCACAGUGACCUUGACCUUAGAAUGAAUGACCUUGAAAUGACCAGUGGUCAUCUAAGUGUGCUUGCAAACCUUCAUGUCAAGUUUGAAGACUCUAUGUCCAAGCAUACCAAAGUUAUAACAAUUUUAACAUUUUAACAUUUAAGGUCACAGUGACCUUGACCUUCAAAUGAAUGACAUUGAAAUGACCAGUGGUCAUCUUCUAGUACUGGCCAAUCUUUAUUUCAAGUUUGAAGACUCUAGGUACAAGCAUACCAAAGUUAUAACAUGAAAUAAGAACUUUAACAUUUUUACAUUCAAGGUCACAGUGACCUUGACCUUCAAAUGAAUGACCUUGAAAUGUCCAGUGGUUACUUACUAGUUCUGGCCAACCUUCAUGUCAAGUUUCAAGACUCUAGGUCCAAGCAUACCAAAGUUAUAACAACUUUAACAUUUUUACAUUCAAGGUCACAGUGACCUUGACCUUCAAAUGAAUGACCUUGAAAUGACCAGUGGUUACUAACUAGUUAUGGCCAACCUUCAUGUCAA
Molecule: long non-coding RNA, 775 nt
Organism: Dreissena polymorpha
Lineage: Eukaryota; Metazoa; Mollusca; Bivalvia; Myida; Dreissenidae
Exons: 2
Source: RefSeq, a predicted model, not a curated record